CUUUCCUUGAUGACGACUGGCGCACGGGUGAGUAACGCGUAUCCAACCUUCCCAUAACUACGGGAUAACCCGUUGAAAGACGGCCUAAUACCGUAUGAUAUCGUUUGCUGACAUCAAAUAACGAUUAAAGGUUUAGCGGUUAUGGAUGGGGAUGCGUCUGAUUAGCUUGUUGGCGGGGUAACGGCCCACCAAGGCAACGAUCGGUAGGGGUUCUGAGAGGAAGGUCCCCCCACAUUGGAACUGAGACACGGUCCAAACUCCUACGGGAGGCAGCAGC
RNAcentral lists this ribosomal RNA (277 nucleotides) under uncultured Prevotella sp. Its description in RNAcentral is "partial 16S ribosomal RNA". It matches the Rfam family "Bacterial small subunit ribosomal RNA", at positions 79 to 355 of the family's 1533-position model. The record is from RNAcentral. Lineage: Bacteria; Pseudomonadati; Bacteroidota; Bacteroidia; Bacteroidales; Prevotellaceae.